CACUUCCAACUGUUGAAGCUGCCAGCAUGAUCUGAGCUUUCUUUUUAUAAGAAAGGCUAGAUCAUGUGGUAGCUUCAUCUGUUGACUGG
RNAcentral lists this microRNA precursor (89 nucleotides) under Prunus dulcis (almond). RNAcentral describes it as "sRNA ncRNA". It matches the Rfam family "MIR167 microRNA precursor family". Lineage: Eukaryota; Viridiplantae; Streptophyta; Magnoliopsida; Rosales; Rosaceae. The record is from RNAcentral.